AGGGGUAUAGCUCAGUUGGCUAGAGCACAGGUCUCCAAAACCUGGUGUCGCGGGUUCGAGUCCCUCUACCCCUGCCA
Molecule: transfer RNA, 77 nt
Filed under: Candidatus Saccharimonadota bacterium
Lineage: Bacteria; Candidatus Saccharimonadota
Description: tRNA-Trp
Rfam family: tRNA
About the family: Transfer RNA (tRNA) molecules are approximately 80 nucleotides in length. Their secondary structure includes four short double-helical elements and three loops (D, anti-codon, and T loops).
Source: RNAcentral